This 76-nucleotide transfer RNA is filed under the name Verrucomicrobiota bacterium. RNAcentral describes it as "Verrucomicrobia bacterium tRNA-Gln". It matches the Rfam family "tRNA". From Rfam's summary of the family: Transfer RNA (tRNA) molecules are approximately 80 nucleotides in length. Lineage: Bacteria; Pseudomonadati; Verrucomicrobiota. The record is from RNAcentral.
CGGCCUCGUGGCAUAACCAGCAGUGCGCCGGUUUCUGGAGCCGGAGGUCUGGGUGCGAGUCCCGGCGAGGCAGCCA